This is a non-coding RNA of Globicephala melas (long-finned pilot whale), 1069 nucleotides long. The record is from RefSeq and is a predicted model, not a curated record. NCBI's taxonomy places the organism in Eukaryota, Metazoa, Chordata, Mammalia, Artiodactyla, Delphinidae.
GUGCGGGAUGUUUUAAUCACAGAGGUGUCGCCUUCCUGGCGCUCGCCAAGGUCCCCACGCACCCGGAACAGCCCCCAUCUAAUCAGCCGUGAAGAAAUAAGCGCAGCAAGACACUCUAGGAAAGUCGAUUUCCAAGAGAGGAAUCUUCCAUUCUUCCUCCCAGAGGAUGUAAGCUGAUCUACCAUCAUUCUGGCUGCUGGGCAGGGAAAGUGAGUGAGGCGUUCGCCACCCACCUCCAGAUUGCAAGCUCCAGGAAGGCUGAGUUUGUGCUGCAUUUUAUUCACCGUUGUAUCCCCAGCACCCAGUACAGUGCUUGCCAGUUGCAGGCAAUCAGUGAAUGUCCUUUCAACGUAUGUGUUCGAUUGUAAGCAUCGAUCUCCUUAGGUAUCCACCCAAGAUAAAUGAAAACAUAUGUCCACACAAAGACUUGCAUGUAAAUGUUCAUAGCACCGUUAUUCAUAAUAGCCCCAAAGUGGAAACAAUCCAAAUGUCCAUUAGUUGGCGAGUGGAUAAGUAUUGUAAAAAGACGGCAUUAUCCAUACAAUGGAGGACUCUGCAGUGAUAAAAAGGAAUAAACAGAUAAUAUAUUCUACAACGUGGAUGAACCACAAAGAUGUUGCAUUAAGUGAAAUAAGCCAGACACAAAUGACUGCAUAUUGCACUGUUCUGUAAGGAUGAAAUUUCUAGAAAAGGCAAAACUAUAAAGAAGAAAGCAGAUCAAUGGUUGCCUGGGCCUGGGAGUGGGAGUGGGGAGUGACUGCAGACAGGAAGAAGGGAGCUCCUGGGGGAGGUGGAAAUUUUCUAAAACUGGAUUGUGGUAAAGGUCGCACCACUGUAUAAAUUUACUAAAAAUCAUUAAACUGUACACUUGCAGUAGGUGUGGGGUACAAAUUAUCUUCAAUAAAGCUGUUAAAAAUGUUUAAAAAAUCAGUCUCCUUACUUAGUCAUUUUAUCCCAUCUUACGUUCUGGGAAUACUAUUUCUGUGGGACAUUGUGCCAGAGACUGCUAAGUGAGUCUCUCAACUCUUUAGUGACAGAAUCUCAAUUUUUUAAAUUGAAUUAUAGUUGA